CCUACGGGCGGCAGCAGUGGGGAAUAUUGCACAAUGGGCGCAAGCCUGAUGCAGCCAUGCCGCGUGUGUGAAGAAGGCCUUCGGGUUGUAAAGCACUUUCAGCGGGGAGGAAGGCGUUAAGGUUAAUAACCUUGGCGAUUGACGUUACCCGCAGAAGAAGCACCGGCUAACUCCGUGCCAGCAGCCGCGGUAAUACGGAGGGUGCAAGCGUUAAUCGGAAUUACUGGGCGUAAAGCGCACGCAGGCGGUCUGUCAAGUCGGAUGUGAAAUCCCCGGGCUCAACCUGGGAACUGCAUUCGAAACUGGCAGGCUAGAGUCUUGUAGAGGGGGGUAGAAUUCCAGGUGUAGCGGUGAAAUGCGUAGAGAUCUGGAGGAAUACCGGUGGCGAAGGCGGCCCCCUGGACAAAGACUGACGCUCAGGUGCGAAAACGUGGGGAGCAAACAGGAUUAGAUACCCCAGUAGUC
Molecule: ribosomal RNA, 465 nt
Filed under: uncultured Klebsiella sp.
Lineage: Bacteria; Pseudomonadati; Pseudomonadota; Gammaproteobacteria; Enterobacterales; Enterobacteriaceae
Description: bacterial SSU rRNA
Rfam family: Bacterial small subunit ribosomal RNA
Source: RNAcentral